AUCAAAAGGAACUCUGCUGUCGAACAGAAAGAACAAAUAGUCACACUCAACCAAAACAUUUCGAUUUUGAUUAAAGUCAACUCUUCAAUGCGAUCCUGAUUGUCGCGGUAAAUUGGAACAAGGUUUAAGUUGAAGUGAAUUGAAAACAUGCAACGUGACAGCGAAAAACGGUCCGACAUGAAUCAGUCCACCACGCGCACUCCAGCGGUUAAAUAUAAACAAGUGACCGCUUACAGCCAAACGACAGGAAACAACAAACCUAAUGUCACCCAAAUAACCUACAUACCACCACCUUUCAGAAUAUCUACGAACAAUCCUAAGCCAGCUAAGAAGUCGCUAUAAUUCAGUUUUUUUUUUAUUUUAUUGUAAUGUAUUUUUCUGUUAGUUAAUAAACUAUGUAAAUAAUA
RNAcentral lists this unclassified non-coding RNA (407 nucleotides) under Melitaea cinxia (Glanville fritillary). Its description in RNAcentral is "misc RNA ENSMCXG00005021440.1". Lineage: Eukaryota; Metazoa; Arthropoda; Insecta; Lepidoptera; Nymphalidae. The record is from RNAcentral.